CGACCGGCGCACGGUGCGCAACGCGUAUGCAACCUACCUUUAACAGGGGAUAACACUGAGAAAUUGGUACUAAUACCCCAUAAUAUCAUAGAAGGCAUCUUUUAUGGUUGAAAAUUCCGAUGGUUAGAGAUGGGCAUGCGUUGUAUUAGCUAGUUGGUGGGGUAACGGCUCACCAAGGCGACGAUACAUAGGGGGACUGAGAGGUUAACCCCCCACACUGGUACUGAGACACGGACCAG
RNAcentral lists this ribosomal RNA (239 nucleotides) under uncultured bacterium. Its description in RNAcentral is "partial 16S ribosomal RNA". It matches the Rfam family "Bacterial small subunit ribosomal RNA", at positions 92 to 334 of the family's 1533-position model. The record is from RNAcentral.